GCGACAGUAGGUUGGUCGUGCCACCGGUACGUACUGGUCUCACUGAUUCCUCCUUCCUGAAGAACCGUAAUGCCAUUAAUUUGGUGUUGCGGGGAAACAGGACUGUUACUUUGAAAAAAUUAGAGUGUUUAAAGCAAGCUAACGCUUGAAUACAUUAGCAUGGAAUAAUGAAAUAGGACGAUCGAUCCUAUUUUGUUGGUUUCUAGGAUUGACGUA
Molecule: ribosomal RNA, 216 nt
Filed under: Glomeromycotina sp.
Lineage: Eukaryota; Fungi; Glomeromycota
Description: partial small subunit ribosomal RNA
Rfam family: Eukaryotic small subunit ribosomal RNA (bases 40-216)
Source: RNAcentral